UACGGGGGGGGCAAGCGUUGUUCGGAAUUACUGGGCGUAAAGGGCUCGUAGGCGGCCAACUAAGUCGGACGUGAAAUCCCUCGGCUUAACCGGGGAACUGCGUCUGAUACUGGAUGGCUAGAGUUUGGGAGAGGGAUGCGGAAUUCCAGGUGUAGCGGUGAAAUGCGUAGAUAUUGGGAGGAACACCGGUGGCGAAGGCGGCCCCCUGGACCGGUACUGACGCUGAGGCGCGAAAGCGUGGGGAUCAAACAGG
Molecule: ribosomal RNA, 253 nt
Filed under: uncultured bacterium
Lineage: Bacteria
Description: partial 16S ribosomal RNA
Rfam family: Bacterial small subunit ribosomal RNA
Source: RNAcentral